Molecule: long non-coding RNA, 397 nt
Organism: Galeopterus variegatus (Sunda flying lemur)
Lineage: Eukaryota; Metazoa; Chordata; Mammalia; Dermoptera; Cynocephalidae
Exons: 2
Source: RefSeq, a predicted model, not a curated record
CUGCUCCGGCGCUCCCCGGGCCCGGAGGCACUGUGAGUCACCCUCACAGCCCCAUCCCCUUCACUUUCGGCGUUGGGGGCGACCCGGAGGACGCUCGGCCCAGGGAUGGUGUGUGUGCGGUCACGCCCUUGCUGAGUACGCAUGCCACCAACAAUAUGGACGCCCAAGUGCCAGAGAGGUCAUGCAGUGUAUCCCCCUGUCUCCGGGCUAAAAAUCAUCUAUCCCUCCAUCGACGCAUCCAUCUAGAGAGGAAGAAACCUGGACGGUUUUUAAAGACUUCCGAGGAGUGACCAGUGUGCCUGUGUGCUCUAAUAUCCAUUUGUCAUCUGCCUUGCAUACAUCCACGGUUUUUCUGAGGCGUGUGUCCAGAGCGUGUGCAUAUAGUAUACAGGGGUCA